Molecule: ribosomal RNA, 113 nt
Filed under: Paramormyrops kingsleyae
Lineage: Eukaryota; Metazoa; Chordata; Actinopteri; Osteoglossiformes; Mormyridae
Source: RNAcentral
GGCAGCAGCCGUACCACCUGCAGUUUAGGAACUUCCCCCUAAAGCUAAGCAGGUUUGGAUCUGGCCACUACUUGGAUGGGAGACCAACUAGGGAAGCUGGGUUGCUGCUGGAA